RNAcentral lists this ribosomal RNA (688 nucleotides) under Orculella sp. NHMW109000/AL/00425/5890. RNAcentral describes it as "partial 12S ribosomal RNA". Lineage: Eukaryota; Metazoa; Mollusca; Gastropoda; Stylommatophora; Orculidae. RNAcentral also lists the same sequence under 1 other name. The record is from RNAcentral.
CCAAAAAUGGUUUUUACCUUUUUAGAUUUUAGUUUAUUUUAUUAUGGUAUACCUAAUUAUUAUAAUUGUUAUUAAUCAUGGGAGUUACAGCGCAAGCCAGUUAACAAACUUAACUUACUAUAUAACUAUAAGCUUAAUAAAGAUUUACUUUGAGGUAAAUAAGGUGCCAGCAACCGCGGUCAAACCUUUAUCAAUAUUAUAAUUUAACUAAAUAAGGAAUUUAUGGUUUAAAUUAAAUCUAUCCUUUUAAGUGAAAUUAAAGUUUUUUUCAAUUUUAAUAAAACCUAUUUGAAAAAAAAUCUUUUGUUAAACUAGGAUUAGAGACCCUACUAUAAUGAUUUUGUUCUUACUUAUUAAGGAAUUACGCUUCAAUUAAAGCUAAACCUAAAUAAUAUGGCGGCUAUGGUUACUUCUUAGGGGAACUUACCAGGUAAAUGAUACCCAUCAAGACAACCUUCUUUAUUUCCUAUAAGUUUGUAUGCCGUCGUCAUCAAAAUAUAUAAAAAAUAUGUUUUAAAGAUUAAAAACUAAUAAAAUGACAGAUCAAGGUGCAGCUAAUAAUAAAGAUUCUAGGCGAGUUACAAUAAUUUUAUAUUACGGUCACAAGCAAAUUAUCUACUUGUGUAAGUUGGACUUAAAAGUAUAAAAGAAAUUUAAAACAAUUUUUGAAUGAAUGUUUCUAUAGUGU